GAUGAACGCUGACAGAAUGCUUAACACAUGCAAGUCAUUGGCAAAGCUGCGCUUGCGCAGUCUAGCCAAGGCGGACGGGUGAGUAACGCGUAAGGAACUUGCCCUGCAGACAGGGAUAACAGACGGAAGCGACUGAUAACACCUGGUAUUGUCAGGCUGGCGCAUGCCGGCCUGAUGAAAGGAGACGCUGCAGGAGAGCCUUGCGUCCUAUUAGCUAGUUGGUGGGGUAACGGCCCACCAAGGCGAUGAUAGGUAGCCGGCCUGAGAGGGUGAACGGCCACAAGGGGACUGAGAUACGGCCCUUACUCCUACGGGAGGCAGCAGUGGGGAAUAUUGGACAAUGGGGGCAACCCUGAUCCAGCAAUUCUGUGUGCACGAAGAAGGUUUUCGGAUUGUAAAGUGCUUUCAGCAGGGAAGAAGAAAGGACGGACCUGCAGAAGAGGCG
This 445-nucleotide ribosomal RNA is filed under the name Leptotrichia sp. oral taxon 213. Its description in RNAcentral is "bacterial SSU rRNA". It matches the Rfam family "Bacterial small subunit ribosomal RNA", at positions 28 to 492 of the family's 1533-position model. Lineage: Bacteria; Fusobacteriati; Fusobacteriota; Fusobacteriia; Fusobacteriales; Leptotrichiaceae. The record is from RNAcentral.